RNAcentral lists this non-coding RNA (29 nucleotides) under Mus musculus (house mouse). Lineage: Eukaryota; Metazoa; Chordata; Mammalia; Rodentia; Muridae. The record is from RNAcentral.
UGUAGCGUUGAUAUGAGAACAUCAGGAAG